GAUGAACGCUGGCGGCGUGCCUAAUACAUGCAAGUCGAGCGAAUGGAUUAAGAGCUUGCUCUUAUGAAGUUAGCGGCGGACGGGUGAGUAACACGUGGGUAACCUGCCCAUAAGACUGGGAUAACUCCGGGAAACCGGGGCUAAUACCGGAUAACAUUUUGAACCGCAUGGUUCGAAAUUGAAAGGCGGCUUCGGCUGUCACUUAUGGAUGGACCCGCGUCGCAUUAGCUAGUUGGUGAGGUAACGGCUCACCAAGGCAACGAUGCGUAGCCGACCUGAGAGGGUGAUCGGCCAAACGGGGACUGAGACACGGCCCAGACUCCUACGGGAGGCAGCAGUAGGGAAUCAUCCGCAAUGGACGAAAGUCUGACGGAGCAACGCCGCGUGAGUGAUGAAGGCUUUCGGGUCGUAAAACUCUGUUGUUAGGGAAGAACAAGUGCUAGUUGAAUAAGCUGGCACCUUGACGGUACCUAACCAGAAAGCCACGGCUAACUACGUGCCAGCCGCCGCAGUAA
Molecule: ribosomal RNA, 515 nt
Filed under: uncultured bacterium
Lineage: Bacteria
Description: partial 16S ribosomal RNA
Rfam family: Bacterial small subunit ribosomal RNA
Source: RNAcentral